Molecule: long non-coding RNA, 201 nt
Filed under: Elaeis guineensis (African oil palm)
Lineage: Eukaryota; Viridiplantae; Streptophyta; Magnoliopsida; Arecales; Arecaceae
Description: long non-coding RNA (EGUI_LNC004022)
Source: RNAcentral
GAGGAAAAGAGAAGGAUGAGAGGACAUUACUGUCUGAUAGGGAGUUCAGUGCGAGAUGGAGCUUCAGGAGUUAGGAGGAGCCCAGGACGAGGUGGAGUUUCAAGUGAAGGUCAGUCGGGCACGAGAUGGAAGACUCGGGAGGAUGAGAGGCGAUAUCACAGGAUGAGAUUUCUAUUGCUGCAAGAGGAUAUCUCGAGCAGG